RNAcentral lists this ribosomal RNA (402 nucleotides) under Bacteroidota bacterium. Its description in RNAcentral is "Bacteroidetes bacterium partial 16S ribosomal RNA". It matches the Rfam family "Bacterial small subunit ribosomal RNA", at positions 355 to 776 of the family's 1533-position model. Lineage: Bacteria; Pseudomonadati; Bacteroidota. The record is from RNAcentral.
UGGGGAAUUUUGCACAAUGGGGGAAACCCUGAUGCAGCGAUGCCGCGUGAUUUAGAAGGCCUUCGGGUUGUAAAAAUCUUUUCUAUGGGAAGAAAAUGACAGUACCAUAGGAAUAAGGACCGGCUAAUUACGUGCCAGCAGCCGCGGUAAUACGUAAGGUCCGAGCGUUGUCCGGAAUCAUUGGGCGUAAAGGGUACGUAGGCGGGUAAGCAAGUUAGAAGUGAAAUCCUGUAGCUCAACUACAGUAAGCUUUUAAAACUGCUCAUCUUGAGAUAUGGAAGGGAAAGUGGAAUUCCUAGUGUAGCGGUGAAAUGCGCAGAUAUUAGGAGGAAUACCGGUGGCGAAGGCGACUUUCUGGCCAUAAUCUGACGCUGAGGUACGAAAGCGUGGGUAGCAAACAGG